CUGAACGCCUCUAAGUCAGUAAAAGAGGUACAAAGGUUUUGANGGAAUUGAAUUGAGCCCNNGCCNUNUUUGACGUNGAUGUNGUGAAUUUCACCCACAUCUNUUCUUCNAUGAAUUAAUCAGCANUGUCUNGCAUAAAAUCUGACGGCGGGGCCCNUAAGCUUGGUCAAUUCCUCUAAACACCUGUAAACACCUCUUACAAAUCUGUGGGCAUAUCUCUUCUAAUAACUCAAGCUACAGUCCUAUCCUAGCUCCCUCCCGCUAUCGAAAGAUUUGUUUCCCACGCGUUCUUGAACACCUUGGACUUCACAAGAGCCAUGACAGACUACACUCCACCAACCUCCCCUUUCAUCCGUCGCAGAAAGCUCUUGAACGGACUUCGUCUCAGAUAUCCACGGCCAUAGGACUCUG
This 411-nucleotide unclassified non-coding RNA is filed under the name Tuber borchii (whitish truffle). The record is from RNAcentral. Lineage: Eukaryota; Fungi; Ascomycota; Pezizomycetes; Pezizales; Tuberaceae.